AUUCUAUCAAGAGCUGGUGGAGGGACAAGCCCUACGAAACCCGGCAACCGAUCUAUUUUUAUAGACACGGUGCUAAUUCUUGCAGCCUAUGUGCUGGGAGAUAGAAC
Lysinibacillus sp. BF-4 is the source of this 107-nucleotide non-coding RNA. NCBI's taxonomy places the organism in Bacteria, Bacillati, Bacillota, Bacilli, Caryophanales, Bacillaceae. The record is from Rfam.